Molecule: small nucleolar RNA, 104 nt
Organism: Lathyrus oleraceus (garden pea)
Lineage: Eukaryota; Viridiplantae; Streptophyta; Magnoliopsida; Fabales; Fabaceae
Product: small nucleolar RNA Z279/snoR105/snoR108
Exons: 1
Source: RefSeq, a predicted model, not a curated record
UUGACAUGAUGAGUGGUAUAGUCUCGCAUUAAAUAUGCGACUUGGGUGUCUGCCCCAAGCCUGGUUACGACAAUUGGGCACUCUCCUUUGACCAAUUUGAUCUC